UACGUAGGUGGCAAGCGUUGUCCGGAAUUACUGGGCGUAAAGCGUGCGUAGGCGGACGAAUAAGUCGGGUGUGAAAUCCCUGGGCUCAACCCAGGAACUGCAUUCGAAACUGCUCGCCUAGAGUACUGGAGAGGAAAGCGGAAUUCUUGGUGUAGAGGUGAAAUUCGUAGAUAUCAGGAGGAACACCAGUGGCGAAGGCGGCUUUCUGGACAGUUACUGACGCUCAGACACGAAAGCGUGGGGAGCAAACAGG
This 253-nucleotide ribosomal RNA is filed under the name uncultured bacterium. RNAcentral describes it as "partial 16S ribosomal RNA". It matches the Rfam family "Bacterial small subunit ribosomal RNA", at positions 524 to 776 of the family's 1533-position model. The record is from RNAcentral.